This 398-nucleotide ribosomal RNA is filed under the name Deinagkistrodon acutus (Chinese moccasin). RNAcentral's name for it is "partial 12S small subunit ribosomal RNA". It matches the Rfam family "Microsporidia small subunit ribosomal RNA", at positions 752 to 1216 of the family's 1311-position model. The record is from RNAcentral. Lineage: Eukaryota; Metazoa; Chordata; Lepidosauria; Squamata; Viperidae.
GCCUAGCCGUAACACACUAUAAUCGUUCGCCAACAACUACGAGUGAUAACUUAAAACUUAAAAGACUUGACGGUACUUCAUCCAGCSUAGAGGAGCCUGUCUAAUAACCGACAACCCACGAUUAACCCGACCCUUUCUUGCCAACAGUCUAUAUACCGCCGUCGUCAGCCUACCUUGUAAAAGCAAUAAAGUAGGCUCAAUAGCACCACACUAAAACGACAGGUCGAGGUGUAACCCAUGAAAAGGACUAAGAUGGACUACAUUCUCAAGCCGAGAACACGGAUAAUACUAUGAAAAUAGCAUUUGAAGGCGGAUUUAGUAGUAAGAUAAGAAUAAAAUACCUAACUGAACAUAACGCAAUGAAGUGCGUACACACCGCCCGUCAUCCCUGCCACCAC